Molecule: long non-coding RNA, 220 nt
Filed under: Lathyrus oleraceus (garden pea)
Lineage: Eukaryota; Viridiplantae; Streptophyta; Magnoliopsida; Fabales; Fabaceae
Description: Pisum sativum (pea) long non-coding RNA (PSAT_LNC027738)
Source: RNAcentral
GGGUUAACCCCUCACUAGUAUGUUGAAGCCGUCCUCGCAUGGUGGAUUGUUGAUUCAGGUUGAGUUUUCUCCCAUUGGUAAUGAAAAGCCUUAAUGCUUGUGUUUUAAAAUGAACUCACUGAUUUUUGGAAAUCUUUUAGCCGAACUACGGCGUUUUGAUCCUUACCUUUGAUGGAAGGUACGUAGGCAACGGGUUCAUCUGUUCAAACACAAAAAUAAU